Odocoileus virginianus texanus is the source of this 645-nucleotide non-coding RNA. NCBI's taxonomy places the organism in Eukaryota, Metazoa, Chordata, Mammalia, Artiodactyla, Cervidae. The record is from RefSeq and is a predicted model, not a curated record.
AGCAACUUUCACUUUUUCAAAUGGUUUUAAUUCUCCCUUCUCUCAUGAUAGUAGUCUGUCAUAUGCUGUUGGAGAACUUCACUGCAGCUAUUCCUGGUCAUCGCUGCUGGGUCCACAUCCUCGAUAAUGCCACUGUCUCAGAUAAUGACACUGGGAUCCUCAGCCCUGAUGUCCUUCUGAGAAUCUCCAUCCCCUUGGAUUCGAACUUGAAGCCAGAGAAAUGUCAUCACUUCCUCUGCCCCCAGUGCAGCUCCUUCACCUGAAUGGGUCCUCCCCCAAUGUGAGUGAGCAGAACACGGAACCCUGUGUGGACGGCUGGGUGUAUGACCUCAGCUUGUUCUCUUCCACCAUUGUGACUGAGAUCAAGGCCUCAUUUACCUCUUAUAACUAUAUGAUCUCUGUGUUUAGAAUAACGUAAAGUAAACAGGGUUCAGGUUUUCAAUUACUGAGUAGAUAGUAUAGUCAAUUGCCUUUCAUUCUUUUAUGGGACCUUGUAUGUGAUUAUCAAUCACAGAAAUCAGUGGUUCAGUCCCUAUUCAUGGCUGGAAUGCUGGUGGGAUGCCUCAUAUAUGGCCAUCUCACAGACAGAUUCAGUAACAUAUGUGGGAUUGACACUCAUGCUGGAAAAGGCUGUGUGGACUCUGC